AGUGGGGAAUAUUGGACAAUGGGCGCAAGCCUGAUCCAGCCAUGCCGCGUGUGUGAAGAAGGCCUUCGGGUUGUAAAGCACUUUCAGCGAGGAGGAAGGGUGGUGUGUUAAUAGCACAUCAUUUUGACGUUACUCGCAGAAGAAGCACCGGCUAACUCUGUGCCAGCAGCCGCGGUAAUACAGAGGGUGCAAGCGUUAAUCGGAAUUACUGGGCGUAAAGCACACGUAGGCGGUUUUUUAAGUCAGAUGUGAAAGCCCCGGGCUCAACCUGGGAAUUGCAUUUGAAACUGGGAAACUAGAGUGUGUGAGAGGGGGGUAGAAUUCCAAGUGUAGCGGUGAAAUGCGUAGAGAUUUGGAGGAAUACCAGUGGCGAAGGCGGCCCCCUGGCACAACACUGACGCUCAGGUGCGAAAGCGUGGGGAGCAAA
This 427-nucleotide ribosomal RNA is filed under the name Rheinheimera texasensis. RNAcentral's name for it is "bacterial SSU rRNA". It matches the Rfam family "Bacterial small subunit ribosomal RNA", at positions 353 to 772 of the family's 1533-position model. Lineage: Bacteria; Pseudomonadati; Pseudomonadota; Gammaproteobacteria; Chromatiales; Chromatiaceae. The record is from RNAcentral.